AUCCGAGUUAUUUCCCUUGUUGGAGCUCUUCGGCAUUGAAGAAUAGAAAAUGUGUAAAUUGUAAACAAAAUGGCAGACAAUGAAAUCUGCAGUUUUUCUUCUUGUUUUGAAACAUCUUGUUCAGGAAAAUUCUACCUCAAGAGACUCAGAAUUUGAUGAAAAACAGUUGACAAAGUUGGGAUAAUCUUUACGAAAAGCCAAAGGGUUGAUCUGGACAUGAUGAGUAUUACACGUAUAGCUAGCUACUUGUAGAAAAGAAAAGAUGAGGAAAUCAGGGUGGUAUGGGGGCGAAGGCCGAGAGGAUUUUAGCUGUUCCCUUCAAGAUGUCUUUGAAAUAGAGAUCGAGAGAUAAAUGUAAUGGUGUGGUAGUCCCCGACCGAUCCCGAUUACAAUGUCCCUUGCAAGAUUUUCCUAAUGAAGAUUCUCAGGAUUACAGAUCUUCUAGCAAGGAGACCACACAGAUAGAGAUGACCAGAGCAGAGGACAUACACCCCCCCCCCUAAAAAAGAAAAAAAACAAUAUACAGUGGACUGGAAGUAAAUUUUACAUGAAAAAUACAAAGUAGGAAAAAUAACAGAAAGAAAAGAUGAUCCAGUAAAAGUUGUCACUGGUGCAAGAUGGACAUAGAGAUGGUUUUCUAAUGAUCAUUACUAAAAUCCACAGCAAAUCAAUACUGCAAGGCUGAGCUACUUUUCAAACUUACACAAAAGGACAUAAAGAAAUGUGAAUUCGAGGAAACCAAGCUUACAUCAAAUGAGAGAAUAUGAAGGAACAAUUUUUAGCAAAAAAAUUUUUUUUUAAG
Saccostrea cuccullata (small rock oyster) is the source of this 802-nucleotide long non-coding RNA. RefSeq lists it as uncharacterized. The record is from RefSeq and is a predicted model, not a curated record. Lineage: Eukaryota; Metazoa; Mollusca; Bivalvia; Ostreida; Ostreidae. The transcript is spliced from 3 exons.